This 869-nucleotide ribosomal RNA is filed under the name uncultured bacterium. RNAcentral describes it as "bacterial SSU rRNA". It matches the Rfam family "Bacterial small subunit ribosomal RNA", at positions 62 to 933 of the family's 1533-position model. The record is from RNAcentral.
UCGAGCGGGAACCUCAGGAGGGGUAACCCUUCUGAGGGGAGAGCGGCGAACGGGUGAGUAACACGUGGGCAACCUGCCCCGGACACCGGGAUAACCCAGGGAAACCUGAGCUAAUACCGGAUAAGCCGGCGUGAUCGCAUGGUCGCGCCGGGAAAGCUCCGACGGGACGGGAUGGGCCCGCGGCCUAUCAGCUUGUUGGUGGGGUAACGGCCCACCAAGGCGACGACGGGUAGCUGGUCUGAGAGGACGGCCAGCCACACUGGGACUGAGACACGGCCCAGACUCCUACGGGAGGCAGCAGUGGGGAAUCUUGCGCAAUGCGCGAAAGCGUGACGCAGCGACGCCGCGUGGGGGAUGAAGGCCCUCGGGUUGUAAACCCCUUUCGGCAGGGACGAAGGGAAACUGACGGUACCUGCAGAAGAAGUCCCGGCUAACUACGUGCCAGCAGCCGCGGUAAGACGUAGGGGACGAGCGUUGUCCGGAUUCAUUGGGCGUAAAGCGCGCGUAGGCGGCUCGGAAAGUCGGGCGUGAAAUGCCGGGGCUCAACCCCGGGACUGCGUCCGAUACUUCCGAGCUGGAGGUAGGUAGGGGAGAUCGGAAUUCCUGGUGUAGCGGUGAAAUGCGCAGAUAUCAGGAGGAACACCGGUGGCGAAGGCGGAUCUCUGGGCCUUACCUGACGCUGAGGCGCGAAAGCUAGGGGAGCGAACAGGAUUAGAUACCCUGGUAGUCCUAGCCGUAAACGUUGGGUGCUAGGUGUGGGCGGAUAUCGACCCCGUCCGUGCCGAAGCUAACGCAUUAAGCACCCCGCCUGGGGAGUACGGCCGCAAGGCUAAAACUCAAAGGAUUUGACGGGGGCCCGCACAAGCGGC